This 257-nucleotide ribosomal RNA is filed under the name uncultured Staphylococcus sp. RNAcentral describes it as "partial 16S ribosomal RNA". It matches the Rfam family "Bacterial small subunit ribosomal RNA", at positions 83 to 334 of the family's 1533-position model. Lineage: Bacteria; Bacillati; Bacillota; Bacilli; Caryophanales; Staphylococcaceae. The record is from RNAcentral.
CCUUUGACGUUAGCGGCGGACGGGUGAGUAACACGUGGAUAACCUACCUAUAAGACUGGGAUAACUUCGGGAAACCGGAGCUAAUACCGGAUAACAUUUGGAACCGCAUGGUUCUAAAGUGAAAGAUGGUUUUGCUAUCACUUAUAGAUGGACCCGCGCCGUAUUAGCUAGUUUGUAAGGUAACGGCUUACCAAGGCGACGAUACGUAGCCGACCUGAGAGGGUGAUCGGCCACACUGGAACUGAGACACGGUCCAG